AAAUUAUGAUUUGGGCACUUCCUCAAUAGGUCCUUAAAUCUCUCCCAAACUUCAUAAAAACUCUCUUGAUCAUGGUGGGCAAAAGUGAUUAUCUCAUUGAGAAGCUU
This 107-nucleotide small nucleolar RNA is filed under the name Jatropha curcas. RNAcentral describes it as "Plant small nucleolar RNA R71". It matches the Rfam family "Plant small nucleolar RNA R71". Rfam says of the family: R71 is a member of the C/D box family of snoRNAs containing the C (UGAUGA) and D (CUGA) box motifs. Multiple nearly identical copies of this snoRNA have been identified in Arabidopsis, and it is thought to function as a 2'-O-ribose methylation guide for 18S ribosomal RNA. Lineage: Eukaryota; Viridiplantae; Streptophyta; Magnoliopsida; Malpighiales; Euphorbiaceae. The record is from Rfam by way of RNAcentral.